GCCCACUUAGCUCAAUUGGCAGAGCACCUGACCUGUAAUCAGGCGGUUGUCCGUUCAACUCGGAUAGUGGGCUCCA
This 76-nucleotide transfer RNA is filed under the name Spirochaetota bacterium. RNAcentral's name for it is "Spirochaetes bacterium tRNA-Thr". It matches the Rfam family "tRNA". From Rfam's summary of the family: Transfer RNA (tRNA) molecules are approximately 80 nucleotides in length. Their secondary structure includes four short double-helical elements and three loops (D, anti-codon, and T loops). The record is from RNAcentral. Lineage: Bacteria; Pseudomonadati; Spirochaetota.